CCUACGGGGGGCAGCAGUGAGGAAUAUUGGUUAAUGGGCGUAAGCCUGAACCAGCCAAGUCGCGUGAGGGAUGAAGGUUCUAUGGAUCGUAAACCUCUUUUAUAAGGGAAUAAAGUGUGGGACGUGUCCUAUUUUGUAUGUACCUUAUGAAUAAGGAUCGGCUAACUCCGUGCCAGCAGCCGCGGUAAGACGGAGGAUCCGAGCGUUAUCCGGAUUUAUUGGGUUUAAAGGGUGUGUAGGCGGCCUUUUAAGUCAGCGGUGAAAGUCUGUGGCUCAACCCUAGAAUUGCCGUUGAAACUGGGGGGCGUGAGUAUGUUUGAGGUAGGCGGAAUGCGGGGUGUAGCGGUGAAAUGCGUAGAUAUCACGAAGAACCCCGAUUGCGAAGGCAGCCUGCCAAGCCAUGACUGACGCUGAGGCACGAAAGCGUGGGGAUCAAACAGGAUUAGAUACCCUAGUAGUC
Molecule: ribosomal RNA, 460 nt
Filed under: uncultured bacterium
Lineage: Bacteria
Description: partial 16S ribosomal RNA
Rfam family: Bacterial small subunit ribosomal RNA
Source: RNAcentral